GGGGUUGUGGCUCAGCGGUAGAGCACUUGUCUCACACGUGUGAGGCUCUAGGUUCAAUCCUCAGCACCA
RNAcentral lists this transfer RNA (69 nucleotides) under Ictidomys tridecemlineatus (thirteen-lined ground squirrel). RNAcentral describes it as "Spermophilus tridecemlineatus (thirteen-lined ground squirrel) tRNA". It matches the Rfam family "tRNA". From Rfam's summary of the family: Transfer RNA (tRNA) molecules are approximately 80 nucleotides in length. Their secondary structure includes four short double-helical elements and three loops (D, anti-codon, and T loops). Further hydrogen bonds mediate the characteristic L-shaped molecular structure. tRNAs have two regions of fundamental functional importance: the anti-codon, which is responsible for specific mRNA codon recognition, and the 3' end, to which the tRNAs corresponding amino acid is attached (by aminoacyl-tRNA synthetases). tRNAs cope with the degeneracy of the genetic code in two manners: having more than one tRNA (with a specific anti-codon) for a particular amino acid; and 'wobble' base-pairing, i.e. permitting non-standard base-pairing at the 3rd anti-codon position. Lineage: Eukaryota; Metazoa; Chordata; Mammalia; Rodentia; Sciuridae. The record is from Rfam by way of RNAcentral.